Papaver somniferum (opium poppy) is the source of this 1550-nucleotide long non-coding RNA. RefSeq lists it as uncharacterized. Lineage: Eukaryota; Viridiplantae; Streptophyta; Magnoliopsida; Ranunculales; Papaveraceae. The transcript is spliced from 10 exons. The record is from RefSeq and is a predicted model, not a curated record.
CACCCUUAACGAGGUCAUCUCUCGUUAUAAAAACAAUUUCCACCCGCAGAAUGAACAUUGUUUCUCUCGCGGCUCUCUGCAAUCUGUUACCGCUGAACAAUUAAACAAGGCGUCGCAAACCGCAGGGUAGAAUCUGCGUCUGAGUUGAAGAGCUUAAUAUUUUCCAUUUCCUCAAAUGGAAAAUUAUCCUCAAUCCUUCCUGGAUGAAAAGAAAAGUAGGGCCGAGCUUAGGGAACUCUUAAUAGAUCAAGAAAUACGUCUGGAGAGAAUCCAUGGGCGUAAGCCCGAAAGACGACACUCUCACGACUUUUCCGAAUAUGAUUAUCUUUUGAUUGAUUCACCAUCGCAAAGUCUGUAUCUCAUGGUUGAUCCAUGGCAAGAAAUGCUACGCAUGGAAAAGCUUGGCUCCAAUGAGUUUGUUGAGAACCAACAUGAGCCUGCUCAUAUUACAAACGAAAGUUCAAGUGAUCACGCGAAAGCUAACACUGACUGUGAGGAAGCUGAUGGAGUGGAUGUUGUCAAAGAUGGAGUAGGAUCUGGGUUGGAAAAUUCGGCUGGUAAGGUAGCAGGUCAGUCCCAAGAAAAGGGGCUUGUUUUUGCUGAAGUCCUCGAAGAUGGAGUAGUAUCUGAGUUGGAUAAAUAUAAGGAAUAUGAGGCUGAGGUUUUGAUCUGGGUUGACUACAUCUAAGGUAAAUGAGGUCUGUAAGGCUGUUGAGGUGCUGAAAGAUGAGAGUUCGGGUUCUGACGUCGACUGGAACACGGAAAGGGAGAAGCUUUUCUCUAGUCAAAACAGAACAAAGAUUGCUGUAGGAAAGAAGUUAAAAAAUGACAUGCUUCCAGAGAUUGAGAAGAUUCACAAGAGGAAAGAGAAAUUGCUGAAAAAGCAGCAGAGAGAGGCUAUCCUUCUUGAUGACUGUGUGGGUGCAGAUGGCCUUGGCCCAGGACGCGCCUUCGUGACCAGUGACCUAUACUUUCGAUGAUUCCGUUCGGUCCAUCGAUGAGGCUAUAAAAAUAAUCAAUUUUAGGCGAAAACAACCCUCUCCAGCAUCUGUCAAAAAAGAAACAGCUGCAAAGCUUGAGCCAUCAUCUACCAAUGGUAGACUGAAUGGUCCCUCCAGUACCCCUCCAAGUGGGAAAACAGGUGGUAGUAGUAGUAACACGACAUAUGUAGGCAAGAGAAAAGGAUGCUUGGGUGAUUAAGAAUCAGAUUUCAAAGAGAGGAAGAAGCAAGACCUGAAGCAAGAGUAAACUGUAUGAAGAAGUUCAAGAUUGAUCCUGCCUUACAGAAGCCUAGUUGUGCGUCAACAGUGUGUUUUCAUUUCUUUUUUUGUUUCCCUUGAAACUCCGUAUCACAUGCGUGGGUGAUUAGGUCUUAGUUAAGUGAACUUUGUUGUGAAGGUAGAGAUAAAUUGAUACCUAGUGGUAUCGUACUUAAAAGUGGAGUGUAGAUUGGUGUUAUGGUCUUUAUACUUUUGCCCGUAAAUGUGUUGGGCCUUUAAACCCGGUUUAAUUAAUUUAUGUAUUUUGGACAUCCAAAGUGGACAUGGUUG